Molecule: ribosomal RNA, 190 nt
Filed under: uncultured Glomeromycotina
Lineage: Eukaryota; Fungi; Glomeromycota
Description: partial small subunit ribosomal RNA
Rfam family: Eukaryotic small subunit ribosomal RNA
Source: RNAcentral
UAGUAUUCAAUUGUCAGAGGUGAAANNCUUGGAUUUAUUGAAGACUAACUACUGCGAAAGCAUUUGCCAAGGAUGUUUUCAUUAAUCAAGAACGAAAGUUAGGGGAUCAAAGACGAUCAGAUACCGUCGUAGUCUUAACCAUAAACUAUGCCGACUAGGGAUCGGAUGAUGUUAAUUUUUUAAUGACUCA